Molecule: ribosomal RNA, 538 nt
Filed under: Kryptoperidinium foliaceum
Lineage: Eukaryota; Dinophyceae; Peridiniales; Kryptoperidiniaceae
Description: partial Bacterial large subunit ribosomal RNA
Rfam family: Bacterial large subunit ribosomal RNA
Source: RNAcentral
UCGGUGGAUGCCUUGGCGACAAGAGGCGAUGAAGGACGUGAUACGCUGCGAUAAGCCAUGGGGAGCUGCGAAUAAGCUUUGAUCCGUGGAUUUCCGAAUGGGGAAACCCACUCCGUAUGGAGUACCCGCAAGGGAGCAAACCCGGGGAACUGAAACAUCUAAGUACCCGGAGGAAAGGACAUCAACCGAGACUCCGCUAGUAGUGGCGAGCGAACGCGGACCAGGCCAGUGGUGUUGGCAAGACAAGUGGAACCGUCUGGAAAGUCGGGCAAUAUGGGUGACAGCCCCGUACACGUAAUGCGAACCAACAUCCUCGAGUAAGGCGGGACACGUGAAAUCCUGUCUGAAGAUCGGAGGACCACCUUCGAAGGCUAAGUACUCCUGACUGACCGAUAGUGAACCAGUACCGUGAGGGAAAGGCGAAAAGAACCCCUGUGAGGGGAGUGAAAUAGAUCCUGAAACCGUGUACGUACAAGCAGUGGGAGCCCCUUCGUGGGGUGACUGCGUACCUUUUGUAUAAUGGGUCAGCGACUUACAU